Molecule: ribosomal RNA, 148 nt
Filed under: Clostridioides difficile
Lineage: Bacteria; Bacillati; Bacillota; Clostridia; Peptostreptococcales; Peptostreptococcaceae
Also listed under: 1 other name
Description: partial 16S ribosomal RNA
Rfam family: Bacterial small subunit ribosomal RNA
Source: RNAcentral
CACACCGCCCGUCACACCACGGGAGUUGGAGACGCCCGAAGCCGAUUAUCUAACCUUUUGGAAGAAGUCGUCGAAGGUGGAAUCAAUAACUGGGGUGAAGUCGUAACAAGGUAGCCGUAUCGGAAGGUGCGGCUGGAUCACCUCCUUU